Molecule: ribosomal RNA, 482 nt
Filed under: uncultured bacterium
Lineage: Bacteria
Description: partial 16S ribosomal RNA
Rfam family: Bacterial small subunit ribosomal RNA
Source: RNAcentral
AUUGAACGCUGGCGGCAUGCUUUACACAUGCAAGUCGAACGGUAACAGGCCGCAAGGUGCUGACGAGUGGCGCACGGGUGAGUAAUGCAUCGGAACGUGCCCAGUCGUGGGGGAUAACUACUCGAAAGAGUAGCUAAUACCGCAUACGAUCUAUGGAUGAAAGCGGGGGACCGUAAGGCCUCGCGCGAUUGGAGCGGCCGAUGUCAGAUUAGGUAGUUGGUGGGGUAAAGGCUCACCAAGCCAACGAUCUGUAGCUGGUCUGAGAGGACGACCAGCCACACUGGGACUGAGACACGGCCCAGACUCCUACGGGAGGCAGCAGUGGGGAAUUUUGGACAAUGGGCGCAAGCCUGAUCCAGCAAUGCCGCGUGCAGGACGAUGGCCUUCGGGUUGUAAACUGAUUUUGUACGGAACGAAACGGCUCUGGUUAAUACCCGGGGCUAAUGACGGUACCGUAAGAAUAAGCACCGGUUAACUACGUG